Molecule: transfer RNA, 67 nt
Filed under: Eurhadina exclamationis
Lineage: Eukaryota; Metazoa; Arthropoda; Insecta; Hemiptera; Cicadellidae
Description: tRNA-Trp
Source: RNAcentral
AAGACUUUAAGUUAAAUAAACUAUUAGCCUUCAAAGUUGGAAAUACUUAAGCCUAGGGUAAGUCUUA